CCUACGGGUGGCUGCAGUGAGGAAUAUUGGUCAAUGGGCGCGAGCCUGAACCAGCCAAGCAGCGUGAAGGAUGACUGCCCUACGGGUUGUAAACUUCUUUUAUAAAGGAAUAAAGUGAGGCACGUGGGCCUUUCUGUAUGUACUUUGUGAAUAAGGAUCGGCUAACUCCGUGCCAGCAGCCGCGGUAAUACGGAGGAUCCGAGGGUUAUCCGGAUUUAUUGGGUUUAAAGGGAGCGUAGAUGGGUUGUUAAGUCAGUUGUGAACGUUUGCGGCUCAACCGUAAAAGUGCAAUUGAUACUGGCAGUCUUGAGUGCAGUUGAGGUAGGCGGAAUUCGUGGUGUAGCGGUGAAAUGCUUAGAUAUCACGAAGAACUCCGAUUGCGAAGGCAGCUUACUAAACUGCCACUGACAUUGAUGCUCGAAAGUGUGGGUAUCAAACAGGAUUAGAUACCCCUGUAGUC
This 460-nucleotide ribosomal RNA is filed under the name uncultured bacterium. RNAcentral describes it as "partial 16S ribosomal RNA". It matches the Rfam family "Bacterial small subunit ribosomal RNA", at positions 338 to 795 of the family's 1533-position model. The record is from RNAcentral.